AACGAACGCUGGCGGCAUGCCUAACACAUGCAAGUCGAACGAGCCCUUCGGGUCUAGUGGCGCACGGGUGCGUAACGCGUGGGAACCUGCCCUUAGGUUCGGAAUAACUCCCCGAAAGGGGUGCUAAUACCGGAUAAUGUCUUCGGACCAAAGAUUUAUCGCCUUUGGAUGGGCCCGCGUUGGAUUAGCUAGUUGGUAGGGUAAAAGCCUACCAAGGCGACGAUCCAUAGCUGGUCUGAGAGGAUGAUCAGCCACACUGGGACUGAGACACGGCCCAGACUCCUACGGGAGGCAGCAGUGGGGAAUAUUGGACAAUGGGCGAAAGCCUGAUCCAGCAAUGCCGGGUGAGUGAUGAAGGCCUUAGGGUUGUAAAGCUCUUUUACCCGGGAUGAUAAUGACAGUACCGGGAGAAUAAGCUCCGGCUAACUCCGUG
This 433-nucleotide ribosomal RNA is filed under the name uncultured bacterium. RNAcentral describes it as "partial 16S ribosomal RNA". It matches the Rfam family "Bacterial small subunit ribosomal RNA", at positions 29 to 507 of the family's 1533-position model. The record is from RNAcentral.